Molecule: ribosomal RNA, 492 nt
Filed under: uncultured bacterium
Lineage: Bacteria
Description: partial 16S ribosomal RNA
Rfam family: Bacterial small subunit ribosomal RNA
Source: RNAcentral
AGUGAACGCUGGCGGUAGGCCUAACACGUGCAAGUCGAACGGCAGCACAGUAAGAGCUUGCUCUUACGGGUGGCGAGUGGCGGACGGGUGAGGAAUACAUCGGAAUCUACUUUUUCGUGGGGGAUAACGUAGGGAAACUUACGCUAAUACCGCAUACGACCUACGGGUGAAAGCAGGGGAUCUUCGGACCUUGCGCGAUUGAAUGAGCCGAUGUCGGAUUAGCUAGUUGGCGGGGUAAAGGCCCACCAAGGCGACGAUCCGUAGCUGGUCUGAGAGGAUGAUCAGCCACACUGGAACUGAGACACGGUGCAGACUCCUACGGGAGGCAGCAGUGGGGAAUAUUGGACAAUGGGCGCAAGCCUGAUCCAGCCAUACCGCGUGGGUGAAGAAGGCCUUCGGGUUGUAAAGCCCUUUUGUUGGGAAAGAAAAGCAGCAGGUUAAUACCCCGCUGUUCUGACGGUACCCAAAGAAUAAGCAACGGCUAACUUCGUG